UACGUAGGGGGCAAGCGUUGUCCGGAAUUAUUGGGCGUAAAGCGCGUGUAGGUGGCUCGGUAAGUCUGCUGUGAAAGUCCAAGGCUCAACCUUGGAAAGCCGGUGGAUACUGUCGAGCUCGAGUCCGAAAGAGGCGAGUGGAAUUCCUGGUGUAGCGGUGAAAUGCGCAGAUAUCAGGAGGAACACCAAUGGCGAAGGCAGCUCGCUGGGACGGUACUGACGCUGAGACGCGAAAGCGUGGGGAGCAAACAGG
This 253-nucleotide ribosomal RNA is filed under the name uncultured bacterium. Its description in RNAcentral is "partial 16S ribosomal RNA". It matches the Rfam family "Bacterial small subunit ribosomal RNA", at positions 524 to 776 of the family's 1533-position model. The record is from RNAcentral.